AUCAGAUCAUGUAACUGACGGAAGUGGGGGUACCCACAGGGAGCAUGAUCGCAGUGAGCCGACCGUCUGGGCGAAAAGG
This 79-nucleotide non-coding RNA is filed under the name Acidaminococcus intestini. Its description in RNAcentral is "ZTP sequence". It matches the Rfam family "ZMP/ZTP riboswitch aptamer (pfl RNA motif)". From Rfam's summary of the family: Previously known as pfl RNA. ZMP is also known as AICAR. Lineage: Bacteria; Bacillati; Bacillota; Negativicutes; Acidaminococcales; Acidaminococcaceae. RNAcentral also lists the same sequence under 1 other name. The record is from RNAcentral.